This 1302-nucleotide ribosomal RNA is filed under the name metagenome. RNAcentral describes it as "bacterial LSU rRNA". It matches the Rfam family "Bacterial large subunit ribosomal RNA", at positions 1635 to 2925 of the family's 2925-position model. The record is from RNAcentral.
UACACGACCGUACCGCAAACCGACACUGGUGCGCGAGAUGAGUAUUCUAAGGCGCUUGAGAGAACUCAGGAGAAGGAACUCGGCAAAUUGACACCGUAACUUCGGAAGAAGGUGUGCCUUUAGUAGGUGAAGGGAUUUACUCCUGGAGCCCAAUGAGGUUGCAAAAAAUCGGUGGCUGCGACUGUUUAUUAAAAACACAGCACUCUGCAAACACGAAAGUGGACGUAUAGGGUGUGACGCCUGCCCGGUGCUGGAAGAUUAAAUGAUGGGGUGCAAGCUCUUGAUUGAAGUCCCAGUAAACGGCGGCCGUAACUAUAACGGUCCUAAGGUAGCGAAAUUCCUUGUCGGGUAAGUUCCGACCUGCACGAAUGGCGUAACGAUGGCCACACUGUCUCCUCCUGAGACUCAGCGAAGUUGAAAUGUUUGUGAUGAUGCAAUCUCCCCGCGGAAAGACGGAAAGACCCCAUGAACCUUUACUGUAGCUUUGUAUUGGACUUUGAACAGAUCUGUGUAGGAUAGGUGGGAGGCUUUGAAGCAGGGUCGCUAGAUCUUGUGGAGCCAACGUUGAAAUACCACCCUGGUGUGUUUGAGGUUCUAACCUAGGCCCGUAAUCCGGGUUGGGGACAGUGCAUGGUAGGCAGUUUGACUGGGGCGGUCUCCUCCCAAAGUGUAACGGAGGAGUUCGAAGGUACGCUAGUUACGGUCGGACAUCGUGACGAUAGUGCAAUGGCAUAAGCGUGCUUAACUGCGAGACUGACAAGUCGAGCAGAUGCGAAAGCAGGACAUAGUGAUCCGGUGGUUCUGUAUGGAAGGGCCAUCGCUCAACGGAUAAAAGGUACUCUGGGGAUAACAGGCUGAUACCGCCCAAGAGUUCAUAUCGACGGCGGUGUUUGGCACCUCGAUGUCGGCUCAUCUCAUCCUGGGGCUGUAGCCGGUCCCAAGGGUAUGGCUGUUCGCCAUUUAAAGAGGUACGUGAGCUGGGUUUAAAACGUCGUGAGACAGUUUGGUCCCUAUCUUCCGUGGGCGCUGCAGAUUUGAGGAAGCCUGCUCCUAGUACGAGAGGACCGGAGUGGACGCACCUCUGGUGUAUCGGUUGUCACGCCAGUGGCAUUGCCGAGUAGCUAUGUGCGGAAGAGACAACCGCUGAAAGCAUCUAAGCGGGAAACUCGUUUCAAGAUGAGAUCUGCCGGGGCCUUGAGCCCCCUGAAGAGUCGUUCAAGACCAGGACGUUGAUAGGUCGGGUGUGGAAGCGCAGUAAUGCGUUAAGCUAACCGAUACUAAUUGCUCGUGCGGCUUGACCCU